GGGACCAAGGUGUUAGUGGCAGCAUACUCGGCUCUUAACCGAGCUUGGUGAGGGUUCGAGCCCCUCUGGUCCCAC
RNAcentral lists this transfer RNA (75 nucleotides) under Anatilimnocola aggregata. RNAcentral's name for it is "Planctomycetes bacterium ETA_A8 tRNA-Lys". It matches the Rfam family "tRNA". Rfam says of the family: Transfer RNA (tRNA) molecules are approximately 80 nucleotides in length. Their secondary structure includes four short double-helical elements and three loops (D, anti-codon, and T loops). The record is from RNAcentral. Lineage: Bacteria; Pseudomonadati; Planctomycetota; Planctomycetia; Pirellulales; Pirellulaceae.